UUAUUUAUUAAAUAAAUCUUAAAUACUUACACAAAAUCAAAAAAUCUAAAUAAUAACUUAUUAGGGAGGUUAAAAAAAAACCUUUUUCAGGAGUGUUGGAACUUGAGAAAAUUUUAAAGCUGGGAAACACAUUUUACAACUUCAAUUUUUUGAUAACUGGUUGAUUCCAGCUCCACCUUACUGGAGCUGAUUGGGUCGAUUUCUUCAUUGCAUCAAAACUCUUGUUGACUCCACAAGAGAGCAAUCAAAGUACAAUCAUAUGAAAAAAUAAACUUGAUCGAUGCCAUCUAAGCAAACCUCUGAAAGCAAUCAAACAGAACUGUAGAGACAAGCCAAUGAUAACAGAUGGUGUAGUAAGCAAUCAAAGACGACAUUCAAACGGUACAAUUGCUUCAAGCCAAUGAUAACAGAUGGUGUAGUAAGCAAUCAAAGACGACAUUCAAACGGUACAAUA
RNAcentral lists this long non-coding RNA (454 nucleotides) under Phoenix dactylifera (date palm). Its description in RNAcentral is "long non-coding RNA (PDAC_LNC020020)". The record is from RNAcentral. Lineage: Eukaryota; Viridiplantae; Streptophyta; Magnoliopsida; Arecales; Arecaceae.